GGUUAAGCGACUAAGCGUACACGGUGGAUGCCCUGGCAGUCAGAGGCGAUGAAGGACGUGCUAAUCUGCGAAAAGCGUCGGUAAGGUGAUAUGAACCGUUAUAACCGGCGAUGUCCGAAUGGGGAAACCCAGUGCAAUUCGUUGCACUAUCGUUAACUGAAUACAUAGGUUAACGAGGCGAACCGGGGGAACUGAAACAUCUAAGUACCCCGAGGAAAAGAAAUCAACCGAGAUUCCCCCAGUAGCGGCGAGCGAACGGGGAG
Molecule: ribosomal RNA, 263 nt
Filed under: Klebsiella pneumoniae
Lineage: Bacteria; Pseudomonadati; Pseudomonadota; Gammaproteobacteria; Enterobacterales; Enterobacteriaceae
Also listed under: 2 other names
Description: partial 23S ribosomal RNA
Rfam family: Bacterial large subunit ribosomal RNA
Source: RNAcentral